Molecule: long non-coding RNA, 290 nt
Organism: Oenanthe melanoleuca
Lineage: Eukaryota; Metazoa; Chordata; Aves; Passeriformes; Muscicapidae
Exons: 3
Source: RefSeq, a predicted model, not a curated record
GAGAAUAUCCAUUAAGGGAAGUGCUUCUUUCAGGAAUACUUUGAACAGCUGAUAACCUGCUGAAUAAGGUGAAGACUUAGCUAAUGCAUUCCACCUGCCAGAGUCACCAGGGGAACUCCAGAGACAAGCUUCAAGCUGCUCCCAAAGGCUUCUAGUAACACAUGCAUUGAAUUGAUAAACAGCAAAGGACUCCACUCCAUGGGCUUCAAAUUACCACCUGGGGAGAUGGAUAAAUCUUCCAACCCAUCCUCUUUGCUUAUUCUGGGAUUCUGAAAUAUGUUCAUGCAUCA